ACUCCUACGGGAGGCAGCAGUGGGGAAUAUUGGACAAUGGGCGCAAGCCUGAUCCAGCCAUGCCGCGUGAGUGAAGAAGGCCUUCGGGUUGUAAAGCUCUUUUGCCAGGGAAGAAACGGUGCGGGCUAAUAUCCUGCACUAAUGACGGUACCUGAAGAAUAAGCACCGGCUAACUACGUGCCAGCAGCCGCGGUAAUACGUAGGGUGCAAGCGUUAAUCGGAAUUACUGGGCGUAAAGCGUGCGCAGGCGGUUUUGUAAGACAGGCGUGAAAUCCCCGGGCUCAACCUGGGAACUGCGUUUGUGACUGCAAGGCUAGAGUAUGGCAGAGGGGGGUGGAAUUCCACGUGUAGCAGUGAAAUGCGUAGAGAUGUGGAGGAACACCGAUGGCGAAGGCAGCCCCCUGGGCCAAUACUGACGCUCAUGCACGAAAGCGUGGGUAGCAAACAGGAUUAGAUACCCUGGUAGUCCACGCCCUAAACGAUGUCAACUAGGUGUUGGGUGGGUAAAACCAUUUAGUACCGGAGCUAACGCGUGAAGUUGACCGCCUGGGGUGUACGGCCGCAAGGUUAAAACUCAAAUGAAUUGACGGA
Molecule: ribosomal RNA, 591 nt
Filed under: uncultured Dechloromonas sp.
Lineage: Bacteria; Pseudomonadati; Pseudomonadota; Betaproteobacteria; Rhodocyclales; Azonexaceae
Description: bacterial SSU rRNA
Rfam family: Bacterial small subunit ribosomal RNA
Source: RNAcentral